AGCCGAAACGCUCCCAGUGUGGAGCGUCCACAACGAUUCGCCCCGUUGUGCUGAUGAUGGCAGGCGAGA
This 69-nucleotide non-coding RNA is filed under the name Firmicutes bacterium OM07-11. The record is from RNAcentral. Lineage: Bacteria; Bacillati; Bacillota.